AGUCGAGCGACCACUUCGGUGGGAAGCGGCGAACGGGUGAGUAACACGUAGGUGAUCUGCCCAUCAGACGGGGACAACGAUUGGAAACGAUCGCUAAUACCGGAUAGGACGAAAGUUUAAAGAUGCUCCUGGUAUCACUGAUGGAUGAGCCUGCGGCGCAUUAGCUAGUUGGUGGGGUAAAGGCCUACCAAGGCGACGAUGCGUAGCCGACCUGAGAGGGUGAACGGCCACACUGGGACUGAGACACGGCCCAGACUCCUACGGGAGGCAGCAGUAGGGAAUCUUCGGCAAUGGGCGAAAGCCUGACCGAGCAACGCCGCGUGAAUGAAGAAGGCCUUCGGGUUGUAAAAUUCUGUUAUAAGGGAAGAAAGGUGAUAGGAGGAAAUGACUAUCAAUUGACGGUACCUUAUGAGAAAGCCACGGCUAACUACGUGCCAGCAGCCGCGGUAAUACGUAGGUGGCAAGCGUUAUCCGGAAUUAUUGGGCGUAAAGAGCGCGCAGGUGGUUAAUUAAGUCUGAUGUGAAAGCCCACGGCUUAACCGUGGAGGGUCAUUGGAAACUGGUUGACUUGAGUGCAGAAGAGGGAAGUGGAAUUCCAUGUGUAGCGGUGAAAUGCGUAGAGAUAUGGAGGAACACCAGUGGCGAAGGCGGCUUCCUGGUCUGCAACUGACACUGAGGCGCGAAAGCGUGGGGGGCAAACAGGAUUAGAUACCCUGGUAGUCCACGCCGUANACGAUGAGUGCUAANUGUUGGGGGUCGAACCUCAGUGCUGAAGUUAACGCAUUAAGCACUCCGCCUGGG
RNAcentral lists this ribosomal RNA (801 nucleotides) under uncultured bacterium. Its description in RNAcentral is "bacterial SSU rRNA". It matches the Rfam family "Bacterial small subunit ribosomal RNA", at positions 60 to 877 of the family's 1533-position model. The record is from RNAcentral.